CCUACGGGAGGCAGCAGUGGGGAAUAUUGCACAAUGGGCGCAAGCCUGAUGCAGCCAUGCCGCGUGUGUGAAGAAGGCCUUCGGGUUGUAAAGCACUUUCAGCGGGGAGGAAGGCGUUAAGGUUAAUAACCUUGUCGAUUGACGUUACCCGCAGAAGAAGCACCGGCUAACUCCGUGCCAGCAGCCGCGGUAAUACGGAGGGUGCAAGCGUUAAUCGGAAUUACUGGGCGUAAAGCGCACGCAGGCGGUCUGUCAAGUCGGAUGUGAAAUCCCCGGGCUCAACCUGGGAACUGCAUUCGGAACUGGCCGGGUAGGGUCUUGUAGAGGGGGGGAGGAUUCCAGGUGUAGCGGUGGAAUGCGUAGAGAUCUGGAGGAAUACCGGUGGGGGAGGCGGCCCCCUGGACAAAGACUGACGCUCAAGUGCGAAAGCGUGGGGAGCAAACAGGAUUAGAUACCCCUGGUAGUC
This 466-nucleotide ribosomal RNA is filed under the name uncultured Klebsiella sp. Its description in RNAcentral is "bacterial SSU rRNA". It matches the Rfam family "Bacterial small subunit ribosomal RNA", at positions 338 to 795 of the family's 1533-position model. Lineage: Bacteria; Pseudomonadati; Pseudomonadota; Gammaproteobacteria; Enterobacterales; Enterobacteriaceae. The record is from RNAcentral.